GAAGUUUCAAUCAGAUGCUUGCAGAUGCCAAUGCGCAAAAUAACACGGCAGGGGCAUCAGUGCCAGGGAAACCUGCCGUAUCUAUGCCUGCAACUAAUCUAAAUAUUGGAAUGGACUUAUGGAAUGCAUCUGCUGCUGCUGCUCCUGGAGCUGCAAAAAUGAGAACCAAUGCAUCUGGUGCCUCAUCAGCAAUAGUUCCUGCAAUAAUGCCUGAACAAUGGAUACAAGACGAGCGUGAACUGAAAAGACAGAAGAGGAAGCAAUCUAACAGGGAGUCAGCCAGAAGAUCAAGAUUACGGAAGCAGGCAGAGUGUGAAGAGCUACAAGCUAGGGUAGAGAAUUUGACUAAUGACAGUCGCAGUCUUAGAGAGGAACUGCGGAGGGUAUCUGAAGAAUGCGAGAAACUUAAAUCUGAAAAUGAUUCUAUUAAGGAAGAAUUGACAAGGUUGUAUGGACCAGAUGCAGUAGCAAACCUCGAACAAAGCAACCACUCUUCGGUUGUUCAGUCUCAUGGCGACGAGGAAAACAGUUAAUAGUGAAGACGUGUGAGAAAAGAGGAAGAAUAUUUCUUGACCUUAAUCCGAGCCUAGAAUAUUGGUUUUCCCUACUGACUAUACCCUUAACCCUUGAUAGUUAUAAUUGUAACAUGGCUCCUCGACUAGCCUAAUGCGCAUUGUUGUAUUGUUGAUGAAUUUAGUCGGAGGAUAAAGAAAGAAUAGAGUUUUGUUUCUUACUCUCUUGUCAUUUUGCGAGUUGCACUC
RNAcentral lists this unclassified non-coding RNA (761 nucleotides) under Hevea brasiliensis (rubber tree). The record is from RNAcentral. Lineage: Eukaryota; Viridiplantae; Streptophyta; Magnoliopsida; Malpighiales; Euphorbiaceae.